GUGCCAGCAGCCGCGGUAAUACCGGCAGCCCAAGUGAUGGCCGCUGUUAUUGGGCCUAAAGCGUCUGUAGCUGGCCGCACGAGUCCGUCGGGAAAUCCGCCCGCUCAACGGGCGGCCGUCCGGCGGAACCUGUGUGGCUUGGGACCGGGAGGCCUGAGGGGUACGAGCGGGGUAGGAGUGAAAUCCUGUAAUCCCGCUCGAACCGCCGAUGGGGAAACCACCUCAGGAGAACGGAUCCGACAGUGAGGGACGAAAGCUCGGGUCUCAAACCGGAUUAGAAACCCUAGUAGUCC
This 293-nucleotide ribosomal RNA is filed under the name uncultured bacterium. RNAcentral's name for it is "partial 16S ribosomal RNA". It matches the Rfam family "Archaeal small subunit ribosomal RNA", at positions 455 to 747 of the family's 1478-position model. The record is from RNAcentral.